Molecule: ribosomal RNA, 161 nt
Filed under: Clavicipitaceae sp.
Lineage: Eukaryota; Fungi; Ascomycota; Sordariomycetes; Hypocreales; Clavicipitaceae
Description: partial large subunit ribosomal RNA
Rfam family: Eukaryotic large subunit ribosomal RNA
Source: RNAcentral
CGGCAACAGCUCAAAUUUGAAAUCUGGCCCCUAGGGCCCGAGUUGUAAUUUGCAGAGGAUGCUUUUGGCGAGGUGCCUUCCGAGUUCCCUGGAACGGGACGCCAUAGAGGGUGAGAAUCCCGUCUUGGACCGGCGUAGGGCCCGUGUAAAACUCCUUCGAC